This 429-nucleotide ribosomal RNA is filed under the name Gemmatimonadota bacterium. RNAcentral's name for it is "Gemmatimonadetes bacterium partial 16S ribosomal RNA". It matches the Rfam family "Bacterial small subunit ribosomal RNA", at positions 355 to 776 of the family's 1533-position model. Lineage: Bacteria; Pseudomonadati; Gemmatimonadota. The record is from RNAcentral.
UAGGGAAUCUUCGGCAAUGGACGAAAGUCUGACCGAGCAACGCCGCGUGAGUGAAGAAGGUUUUCGGAUCGUAAAACUCUGUUGUUAGAGAAGAACAAGGACGUUAGUAACUGAACGUCCCCUGACGGUAUCUAACCAGAAAGCCACGGCUAACUACGUGCCAGCAGCCGCGGUAAUACGGAGGUGGCAAGCGUUGUCCGGAAUUAUUGGGCGUAAAGCGAGCGCAGGCGGUUUCUUAAGUCUGAGGUGAAAGCCCCCGGCUCAACCAGGGAGGGUCAUUGGAAACUGGGAGACUUGAGUGCAGAAGAGGGGAGUGGAAUUCCAUGUGUAGCGGUGAAAUGCGUAGAUAUAUGGAGGAACACCAGUGGCGAAGGCGGCUCUCUGGUCUGUAACUGACGCUGAGGCUCGAAAGCGUGGGGAGCAAACAGG